Cavia porcellus (domestic guinea pig) is the source of this 1105-nucleotide long non-coding RNA. RefSeq lists it as uncharacterized. The record is from RefSeq and is a predicted model, not a curated record. Lineage: Eukaryota; Metazoa; Chordata; Mammalia; Rodentia; Caviidae. The transcript is spliced from 3 exons.
GGGAGGGAGAAGAGUCCACACUGCCUGCCUGAGGGCUUAGCUCUCCCUGCCCUGGACCCCUAGGUGGAAAGGCCAGGCAACAAGAGACAAAGUUUGCAUCACUAAAUUGCCUAAUCUGGCCUCAAACUUGGCAUCCUCCUGCUUCAGCCUCUUGACUAGGUACAUGUAUGUACCACUAUGCAUGGUGCCUUUGUCUUUUCAUGUUUAUCAUUUAUAUACUCAUUUUCCUAUAAACUGCAAUAUAUGCCAAAAAACGAAUUAUGUAAGUGAAUCAUCCUGCUUUUGGAAAGGGAAAAAAUGAAGCCCUGAUAAUCAGAAGCCCAAAAGAGGGUUAAGACAAGCCUAAAAAACAGGCUCCUCUCUAAGGAGCCAUAAAGCCAGGGAUUCCACUUGUGGAGACUUAAAGACCUGUGGCAUUGUUCAUCCUCUGACUGUUAGGCAGAAGGGGUCCAGGGUCCUGAGUCCAUUCCCACACCACCGGUCCUGUACCCCAUGUGCAUCCAGCUCUCUACACCAGCUCAGGGAUGGAGAGAGAAGUGACUUGGCCUCCAGCACAGAGACUGCUCUCGGUUCUUUCCCUCGAUGUCCGCUCAGAGAUGACCUUCAAAAAUAAGACUUGCCAGCUGUGGUGCUGCACACCCAUAAUCCAGUGCUCAUGAGGCCAUGCUGGGAGUGGUGGUGCACUUGGGAGGCUGAAGCAGGAAAACCGCCACGAGUUCAAGGCCACUCUGAACUAUAUAGCAAGACUCUGUCUCAAAAAUAAAUAAAUAUAAAAAACAAUUCUCAAUAUGACUGUCCCUGCCUUUACCCUGACAGAUUCAGAACCUGCGGCUAGCCUUAGUGCAAAUUGGAAGACAGUGCCCCCUACUGGUGAACGCAGCCUAGCGGGUUCAGGGCUUCUCCACCUGGCUAUAGGCUGCAUUUCAGGCCUUACUCCCCAUCAAGGUGAGCAAAGUUCUCUGCACAGCCGCCCUCCUACAACAGUGAUGGCGUAGCUUUUAGAGACGCGGGCCCAAACUGCAACCCCAGACCCACUGAUUUACCGCAAAAUGCCAACACCGCAAUUAAAUCUGAACGUGGAGAUUUUAGUCUAGAAAAAGCAACU